AGCCAUGCGAGUCAUUGUAGUAAUACAAGGCAGACGGCUCAGUAACGCGUAGUCAACCUAACCUAUGGACGGGAAUAACCUCGGGAAACUGAGUAUAAUGCCCGAUAGAACACUAUACCUGGAAUGGUUUGUGUUCCAAAUGAUUUAUCGCCGUAGGAUGGGACUGCGGCCUAUCAGUUUGUUGGUGAGGUAAUGGCCCACCAAGACUAUUACAGGUACGGGCUCUGAGAGGAGUAGCCCGGAGAUGGGUACUGAGACACGGACCCAGGCCCUAUGGGGCGCAGCAGGCGAGAAAACUUUGCAAUGUGCGAAAGCACGACAAGGUUAAUCCGAGUGGUUUGUGCUAAACGAACCUUUUGACAGUCCUAGAAACACUGUUGAAUAAGGGGUGGGCAAGUUCUGGUGUCAGCCGCCGCGGUAAAACCAGCACCUCAAGUGGUCAGGAUGAUUAUUGGGCCUAAAGCAUCCGUAGCCGGCUCUGUUAGUUUUCGGUUAAAUCUGUACGCUCAACGUACAGGCUGCCGGGAAUACUGCAGAGCUAGGGAGUGGGAGAGGUAGACGGUACUCGGUAGGAAGGGGUAAAAUCCUUUGAUCUAUUGAUGACCACCUGUGGCGAAGGCGGUCUACCAGAACACGUCCGACGGUGAGGGAUGAAAGCUGGGGGAGCAAACCGGAUUAGAUACCCGGGUAGUCCCAGCUGUAAACUAUGCAAACUCAGUGAUGUAUUGGCUUGUGGCCAAUGCAGUGCUGCAGGGAAGCCGUUAAGUUUGCCGCCUGGGAAGUACGUACGCAAGUAUGAAACUUAAAGGAAUUGGCGGGG
This 820-nucleotide ribosomal RNA is filed under the name uncultured marine archaeon. RNAcentral's name for it is "bacterial SSU rRNA". It matches the Rfam family "Archaeal small subunit ribosomal RNA", at positions 47 to 873 of the family's 1478-position model. The record is from RNAcentral.